UAACUGAAGAGUUUGAUCAUGGCUCAGAUUGAACGCUGGCGGCAGGCUUAACACAUGCAAGUCGAGCGGGGGAAGGUAGCUUGCUACCGGACCUAGCGGCGGACGGGUGAGUAAUGCUUAGGAAUCUGCCUAUUAGUGGGGGACAACAUCUCGAAAGGGAUGCUAAUACCGCAUACGUCCUACGGGAGAAAGCAGGGGAUCUUCGGACCUUGCGCUAAUAGAUGAGCCUAAGUCGGAUUAGCUAGUUGGUGGGGUAAAGGCCUACCAAGGCGACGAUCUGUAGCGGGUCUGAGAGGAUGAUCCGCCACACUGGGACUGAGACACGGCCCAGACUCCUACGGGAGGCAGCAGUGGGGAAUAUUGGACAAUGGGGGGAACCCUGAUCCAGCCAUGCCGCGUGUGUGAAGAAGGCCUUAUGGUUGUAAAGCACUUUAAGCGAGGAGGAGGCUACUCUAGUUAAUACCUAGAGAUAGUGGACGUUACUCGCAGAAUAAGCACCGGCUAACUCUGUGCCAGCAGCCGCGGUAAUACAGAGGGUGCGAGCGUUAAUCGGAUUUACUGGGCGUAAAGCGUGCGUAGGCGGCUUAUUAAGUCGGAUGUGAAAUCCCCGAGCUUAACUUGGGAAUUGCAUUCGAUACUGGUGAGCUAGAGUAUGGGAGAGGAUGGUAGAAUUCCAGGUGUAGCGGUGAAAUGCGUAGAGAUCUGGAGGAAUACCGAUGGCGAAGGCAG
This 729-nucleotide ribosomal RNA is filed under the name Acinetobacter baumannii. RNAcentral describes it as "bacterial SSU rRNA". It matches the Rfam family "Bacterial small subunit ribosomal RNA", at positions 1 to 724 of the family's 1533-position model. The record is from RNAcentral. Lineage: Bacteria; Pseudomonadati; Pseudomonadota; Gammaproteobacteria; Moraxellales; Moraxellaceae.